UAUAACCGACAGCAUUAAAGAAGGAUUUUUUAAUACUGUCGGUUAUAACCGACAAUAAUAGUUAUUCAAAGGCAAUUUUUUUUAAUUACUAUUAGUGUCGGUUAUAACCGACUCUAAUAGUUUGAAAUGUUUUUUAAUAUAACAGCUAGUAGCCGUUGUAUUAACUUUUUUUUUAUAUGAAUUUAAACUUCUUUUUUUCCCUUUUUUUUCCUUUUCAUAUGAAUCAAAUUUUGUUUCAUAUUUUUUUUCAAUUCUAUUUUACAAUAUUUGUUUCAAUUUUUUUUAAAAUUCUAUUUUUUUCCUAUAACUUCUAUUUUACAAAAUUUGUUUCAUAUUUUUUUUAAAUUCCAUUUUUUCCUAUAACUUCUAUUUCACAAAAUUUGUUUCAAUUUUUUUUUAAAUUCUAUUUUUUUCCUAUAACUUCUUGUAGACAUUGAAAUUUUGUAAAUAAAUGUUGACCGAUAAAUCAAAGUUUCAACGCUCAUGUAUUACAUAAAUUUUACACGUAGCGUGUGACUCGACGAAAAAUUGAAAUGAGUCGGAAAAGUCAUCAAACAGGACACAUGUGUUGGUAGAAACGACUUAUUUCA
RNAcentral lists this long non-coding RNA (590 nucleotides) under Malus domestica (apple). RNAcentral describes it as "long non-coding RNA (MDOM_LNC013183)". The record is from RNAcentral. Lineage: Eukaryota; Viridiplantae; Streptophyta; Magnoliopsida; Rosales; Rosaceae.